AGAAAAAAAUUGUAUCAGAUUAAAAUUGUGGAUGGAUUUUUUUGUAAUAACCAGUUAAAUUCGCAAUUUCGUUACAUUUUUUCGGGGUUUUCCAGGAAUUGAACGAGAAAGUGUAAAUGCUGGUUCUGAUGAUAAACAAACUUGAAGCAUCGUAAUUUGUGACCAAAAAUGGUCACUCGGAGUUUCUUGGAGUAAUAAUAAUCGAGACCAGUGCGCUGUGCAGGAUUUUUGUAUCCAACCGGCCAAUAUGGGUAGCAUUCCAGUACUGUCCCUACCGAUUCGGCUUUGAAACGAGGUCUCUCAAUAAGUUUGCAACUAAUGGGACCCAGUUUUUCGGAGCAGCAAUUAUUUCAAUCAGCACGUUGGAUAGAAAAAGUUGAAGAUUUUUUAGAAAAGUAUAAUUUUAAUAUAAAUAUAAUAAACAAAUAAAGUUGAAUUUUAGUUGAA
This is a long non-coding RNA of Uranotaenia lowii, 447 nucleotides long. RefSeq lists it as uncharacterized. Lineage: Eukaryota; Metazoa; Arthropoda; Insecta; Diptera; Culicidae. The transcript has 2 exons. The record is from RefSeq and is a predicted model, not a curated record.